AAUUUCCUUUUGUUUUUUAUGAGCAAUGUCAGUAAUGAUGUUAACAAAUAAAUCAAACAAUGCAGAGACAAUUCAGUUAUAUCCCCGCAGUAGUGGUCUUGAAAUAAAAUCCUGAGUCCUCUUUGUCUGAGAUCGAGAUAAGACUCCGAGACGAGACUGAGACAAGGCCGGAAAAAAUUGCGGUUGAUUCCAAGACAAAGCCGAGACCUUCAAAAAGUGGUCUUGAGACCGGUCUCAAGACCAAGACCGACCUUGAGUACUUACAACACUGAGUUACCGUGCGUGUUGCCAAAUCAAACAGGCCUAAAAUCUCAAGGAUUCUAACUUUAAGGUCUCAGGAAAUGUUUGCCAAGUAAUACGUAGACCCCGUUUGGUGU
This is a long non-coding RNA of Sebastes umbrosus (honeycomb rockfish), 377 nucleotides long. RefSeq lists it as uncharacterized. The transcript has 4 exons. NCBI's taxonomy places the organism in Eukaryota, Metazoa, Chordata, Actinopteri, Perciformes, Sebastidae. The record is from RefSeq and is a predicted model, not a curated record.